AGCGGCGGAUGGGUGAGUAACACGUGGGGAACCUGCCCCUAAGUCUGGGAUACCAUUUGGAAACAGGUGCUAAUACCGGAUAAUAAAGCAGAUCGCAUGAUCAGCUUUUGAAAGGCGGCGUAAGCUGUCGCUAAGGGAUGGCCCCGCGGUGCAUUAGCUAGUUGGUAAGGUAACGGCUUACCAAGGCGACGAUGCAUAGCCGAGUUGAGAGACUGAUCGGCCACAUUGGGACUGAGACACGGCCCAAACUCCUACGGGAGGCAGCAGUAGGGAAUCUUCCACAAUGGACGCAAGUCUGAUGGAGCAACGCCGCGUGAGUGAAGAAGGUUUUCGGAUCGUAAAGCUCUGUUGUUGGUGAAGAAGGAUAGAGGUAGUAACUGGCCUUUAUUUGACGGUAAUCAACCAGAAAGUCACGGCUAACUACGUGCCAGCAGCCGCGGUAAUACGUAGGUGGCAAGCGUUGUCCGGAUUUAUUGGGCGUAAAGCGAGCGCAGGCGGAAAAAUAAGUCUAAUGUGAAAGCCCUCGGCUUAACCGAGGAACUGCAUCGGAAACUGUUUUUCUUGAGUGCAGAAGAGGAGAGUGGAACUCCAUGUGUAGCGGUGGAAUGCGUAGAUAUAUGGAAGAACACCAGUGGCGAAAGCGGCUCUCUGGUCUGCAACUGACGCUGAGGCUCGAAAGCAUGGGUAGCGGACAGGAUUAGAUACCCUGGUAGUCCAUGCCGUAAACG
RNAcentral lists this ribosomal RNA (728 nucleotides) under uncultured bacterium. RNAcentral's name for it is "bacterial SSU rRNA". It matches the Rfam family "Bacterial small subunit ribosomal RNA", at positions 94 to 808 of the family's 1533-position model. The record is from RNAcentral.